AACGAACGCUGGCGGCAGGCUUAACACAUGCAAGUCGAACACCCCGCAAGGGGAGUGGCAGACGGGUGAGUAACGCGUGGGAAUCUACCCAUCCCUACGGAAUAACGCAUGGAAACGUGUGCUAAUACCGUAUACGCCCUACGGGGGAAAGAUUUAUCGGGGAUGGAUGAGCCCGCGUUGGAUUAGCUAGUUGGUGGGGUAAAGGCCUACCAAGGCGACGAUCCAUAGCUGGUCUGAGAGGAUGAUCAGCCACAUUGGGACUGAGACACGGCCCAAACUCCUACGGGAAGCAGCAGUGGGGAAUAUUGGACAAUGGGCGCAAGCCUGAUCCAGCCAUGCCGCGUGAGUGAUGAAGGCCUUAGGGUUGUAAAGCUCUUUCACCGGAGAAGAUAAUGACGGUAUCCGGAGAAGAAGCCCCGGCUAACUUCGUG
RNAcentral lists this ribosomal RNA (431 nucleotides) under uncultured bacterium. RNAcentral describes it as "partial 16S ribosomal RNA". It matches the Rfam family "Bacterial small subunit ribosomal RNA", at positions 29 to 507 of the family's 1533-position model. The record is from RNAcentral.